AGGGCAGUAGCUCAGUUGCAGAUGGGUUCUGUAGUGGUAGAGCAUCUGCUUUGCAUGCAGAAGGUCCUAGGUUCAAUCCCCAGCAGCUCUA
Molecule: non-coding RNA, 91 nt
Organism: Podarcis lilfordi (Lilford's wall lizard)
Lineage: Eukaryota; Metazoa; Chordata; Lepidosauria; Squamata; Lacertidae
Source: the annotation of a GenBank genome assembly